This 426-nucleotide ribosomal RNA is filed under the name uncultured Thermotalea sp. RNAcentral's name for it is "bacterial SSU rRNA". It matches the Rfam family "Bacterial small subunit ribosomal RNA", at positions 355 to 794 of the family's 1533-position model. The record is from RNAcentral. Lineage: Bacteria; Bacillati; Bacillota; Clostridia; Peptostreptococcales; Thermotaleaceae.
UGGGGAAUAUUGGGGCAAUGGAGGCAACUCUGACCCAGCAAUGCCGCGUGAGUGAAGAAGGUUUUCGGAUUGUAAAGCUCUUUAAGUGGGGACGAAGAAAGUGACUGUACCCACAGAAUAAGCAUCGGCUAACUACGUGCCAGCAGCCGCGGUAAUACGUAGGAUGCAAGCGUUAUCCGGAAUGACUGGGCGUAAAGGGUGCGUAGGCGGUUUAGCAAGUUGGUAGCGUAAUUCCGGGGCCUAACUCCGGGACUACUACCAAAACUGCUGGGCUUGAGUGCGGCAGGGGUAUGUGGAAUUCCUAGUGUAGCGGUGGAAUGCGUAGAUAUUAGGAGGAACACCAGAGGCGAAGGCGACAUACUGGGCCGUAACUGACGCUGAGGCACGAAAGCGUGGGGAGCAAACAGGAUUAGAUACCCUGGUAGU